CUAAAUACUACUUAGUGACCGAUAGCGCAUAGUACUGUGAAGGAAAGGUGAAAAGGACCCCGGGAGGGGAGUGAAAGAGAACCUGAAACCCUGUGUUUACAAGCUGUGGAAGUUCUUUAAAUGAACAACCGCGUACUUUUUGUAGAACGGUCCGGCGAGUUGCGGAUACUGGCAAGGUUAAGCACUUAAGGUGCGGAGCCGAAGGGAUACCAAGUCUUAACAGGGCGUUAAGUCAGUAUACGCAGACCCGAAACCGGGUGAUCUAUCCAUGUCCAGGUUGAAGUUGCCGUAAAAGGCAAUGGAGGACCGAACCCACAUCCGUUGAAAAGGGUGGGGAUGAGGUGUGGAUAGGGGAGAAAUUCCAAUCGAACCCGGAGAUAGCUGGUUCUCCUCGAAAUAGCUUUAGGGCUAGCCUCGAUUUAGUCUUAUGGAGGUAGAGCACUGAAUUUCCGCGGGGGCGUCAAAGCUUACCAAAGAAUAUCAAACUCCGAAUGCCAUGUAGAUGAUGAUCGGGAGUCAGACUGCACGAGAUAAGUUGGGCAGUCAAAAGGGAAAGAGCCCAGACCACCGGCUAAGGUCCCAAAGUGCGUGUUAAGUGGAAAAGGAUGUGGGAAUUCGAAGACAACUAGGAUGUUGGCUCAGAAGCAGCCAUACAUUCAAAGAGUGCGUAACAGCUCACUAGUCGAGAGUUCCUGCGCCGAAAAUGUCCGGGGCUGAAACACGACACCGAAGCCGUGGACUCGCAAUGCGAGUGGUAGAGGAGCAUUCUUAAAACCGACGAAGCUGUACCGUAAGGAGCAGUGGAGGGAUAAGAAGAGAGAAUGCCGGAAUGAGUAGCGAGAGAAAGGUGGGAAUCCUUUCGGCCGAAUAUCUAAGGUUUCCAGAGUAAAGCUGAUCUGCUCUGGGUAAGUCGGGGCCUAAGCACAGGUCGCAAGACGUAAGCGAUGGAUAACAGGUUUAGAUUCCUGUACCACGCAUUAUCAGAACUGUAGGGACGCAUGUGGAAAGCACGAGCCGGGAAUGGAAAGACCGGUACAAGCGAGGUAGGUGUACAAUAGGCAAAUCCGUUGUAUGAUCCGAAGACGUGAUGUGGAGCGAAAUAAAGUAGUGAAGCGUGUGAGCCAUGUGCCGAGAAAAGCCGCUAUUGUUUUAUAUGUGCCCGUACCGUAAACCGACACAGGUGGAUGAGGAGAGAAUCCUAAGGCCGACGGAAGAAGCAUUGUUAAGGAAUUCGGCAAAAUGACCCCGUAACUUCGGGAGAAGGGGUGCCCACUGAAUGGUGGGCCGCAGAGAAUAGGCUCAAGCAACUGUUUAGCAAAAACACAGGUCUAUGCGAAACCGAAAGGUGAAGUAUAUGGGCUGACGCCUGCCCGGUGCUGGAAGGUUAAGAGGAGAGGUUAGCGUAAGCGAAGCUUUGAAUUUAAGCCCCAGUAAACGGCGGCCGUAACUAUAACGGUCCUAAGGUAGCGAAAUUCCUUGUCGGGU
RNAcentral lists this ribosomal RNA (1485 nucleotides) under human gut metagenome. RNAcentral's name for it is "bacterial LSU rRNA". It matches the Rfam family "Bacterial large subunit ribosomal RNA", at positions 466 to 1977 of the family's 2925-position model. The record is from RNAcentral.